UGCAAGUCGAGCGGGGGAGAUUACUUCGGUAAUUGACCUAGCGGCGGACGGGUGAGUAAUACUUAGGAAUCUGCCUAUUAAUGGGGGACAACAUCUCGAAAGGGAUGCUAAUACCGCAUACGCCCUACGGGGGAAAGCAGGGGAUCACUUGUGACCUUGCGUUAAUAGAUGAGCCUAAGUCGGAUUAGCUAGUUGGUGGGGUAAAGGCCUACCAAGGCGACGAUCUGUAGCGGGUCUGAGAGGAUGAUCCGCCACACUGGGACUGAGACACGGCCCAGACUCCUACGGGAGGCAGCAGUGGGGAAUAUUGGACAAUGGGGGGAACCCUGAUCCAGCCAUGCCGCGUGUGUGAAGAAGGCCUUAUGGUUGUAAAGCACUUUAAGCGAGGAGGAGGCUCUUUUGGUUAAUACCCAAGAUGAGUGGACGUUACUCGCAGAAUAAGCACCGGCUAACUCUGUGCCAGCAGCCGCGGUAAUACAGAGGGUGCGAGCGUUAAUCGGAUUUACUGGGCGUAAAGCGUGCGUAGGCGGCUUUUUAAGUCGGAUGUGAAAUCCCCGAGCUUAACUUGGGAAUUGCAUUCGAUACUGGGAAGCUAGAGUAUGGGAGAGGAUGGUAGAAUUCCAGGUGUAGCGGUGAAAUGCGUAGAGAUCUGGAGGAAUACCGAUGGCGAAGG
Molecule: ribosomal RNA, 673 nt
Filed under: uncultured Acinetobacter sp.
Lineage: Bacteria; Pseudomonadati; Pseudomonadota; Gammaproteobacteria; Moraxellales; Moraxellaceae
Description: bacterial SSU rRNA
Rfam family: Bacterial small subunit ribosomal RNA
Source: RNAcentral